Molecule: long non-coding RNA, 334 nt
Filed under: Elaeis guineensis (African oil palm)
Lineage: Eukaryota; Viridiplantae; Streptophyta; Magnoliopsida; Arecales; Arecaceae
Description: long non-coding RNA (EGUI_LNC048555)
Source: RNAcentral
CAUAUGCAGAUUCUAUAAUAAAUCAAUAAAUCAUGUUAUUUCAGAAAUCUCAAUUUUCAAAUCACUUGCUAUUCAAAAUAUAAUUUUAUAAAUCAUGCAUAAUUCAAAGAAUAAUUAUUUACUUUUGAAAUAAAUUAUGCAAUAUCUUGAAAAAACAGUUGAUUAUUUAUCUCUACGGAAUACUGAAUAGACAGAUUCAAUCAAUCCAAAAGCAUCCUUUAUAAUUUAUUAUUUAAAAUAUAUUCUUUUAUCAGUCUUAAACUACAACUAAUGAAAAUUUUAAGUUCUGAAACUCUCAUAAGAUUGACAAAAAUGAUAGCAUGCAAUGUCCCAU